Amphiprion ocellaris (clown anemonefish) is the source of this 578-nucleotide long non-coding RNA. The record is from Ensembl. NCBI's taxonomy places the organism in Eukaryota, Metazoa, Chordata, Actinopteri, Pomacentridae.
AGAAACAGUAACAGUUACUACCGAAGAGAGUGAGCGCGAUGUUAAGCGACAGUGGGAUCUUAAGACAAUUGAAGCUGUAACCGUGUCGUCCGUCCGUCGCGGGUUAGAUGGUGAGCAUGUGAGCAAAUGUACCAGCGUCGCAAACCGUCUGCGUAAGGCAAAUCAGACUCGGAUGUCUGAUGUGUUUCAGCUGUCUCGCUUUUAUACUGUAGACUCUUCACCCUCAUGCAGCUCUACGGUUUUGGAAAUCACCCGUUGGAAUUAGGAUGAUUUACACAGGCCAUAUGCGGGUGUCUUGUGCGUCCUGACGCACCGAGAGGAUCACUCGUGUCUAGUUUCCGUCUUUGUCGGCAGGCAGCGCACACUCUCAUCAGGACCAUUCACACGUCCAGCGCUCAAACCACAACUUCAGAGAAUUGGCCACCGAUGAAGACAUCAUCCAUCAUCCCACUGACGCUCUGCCAGAACACUUGGAGAUAAAUAUGGAGGCUUUUCAAGUUGUACCUGUCUUUGAGAAACCACACAAUCAUAAACCCACAUAGAGUGGGGUCCAAGCCAAGGGAAAAGAGAUUACAUCA